GGGUACAUUAACGAGUAACCGCGGGAAAUCGCAAGAAAGUACCGCUCUCCCACCCGUGCCUAUAUUACUCUGUUGCUUCCCGGGCCUCAACCCCCGGGGAGGACCCCAACCUAUGAAUUAUUUACCGUCUGAGUACUAUAUAAUAGUUAAAACUUUCAACAACGGAUCUCUUGGUUCUGGCAUCGAUGAAGAACGCAGCGAAAUGCGAUAAGUAAUGUGAAUUGCAGAAUUCAGUGAAUCAUCGAAUCUUUGAACGCACAUUGCGCCCCUUGGUAUUCCGGGGGGCAUGCCUGUUCGAGCGUCAUUUAAUACCAAUCCCUUCGGGGGUCUUGGGGUAUACCGUCUGGUAGCCCUUAAAAUCAGUGGCGGUGCCUCUCGGCUCUAAGCGUAGUAAUUCUUCUCGCUACAGGGCUCGGGAGACCACCCGCCAGAACCCCCAUACUUCUUAAGGUUGACCUCGGAUCAGGUAGGGAUACCCCGCUGAACUUAA
This 490-nucleotide ribosomal RNA is filed under the name Gremmeniella abietina. RNAcentral describes it as "eukaryotic LSU rRNA". The stretch from base 151 to 304 matches the Rfam family "5.8S ribosomal RNA". The record is from RNAcentral. Lineage: Eukaryota; Fungi; Ascomycota; Leotiomycetes; Helotiales; Godroniaceae.